This is a small nuclear RNA of Gracilinanus agilis (Agile Gracile Mouse Opossum), 103 nucleotides long. NCBI's taxonomy places the organism in Eukaryota, Metazoa, Chordata, Mammalia, Didelphimorphia, Didelphidae. The record is from RefSeq and is a predicted model, not a curated record.
UUGCUUUGGCAGCAGAUAUACUGAAAUUGGAGUGAUACAGAGAAGAUUAGCAUGGCCCCUGUGCUAGAAUGACAGGUAAAUUUGUGAAGCAUUCCAUAUUUUU